Molecule: ribosomal RNA, 331 nt
Filed under: uncultured Pseudomonadota bacterium
Lineage: Bacteria; Pseudomonadati; Pseudomonadota
Description: bacterial SSU rRNA
Rfam family: Bacterial small subunit ribosomal RNA
Source: RNAcentral
AUUGAACGCUGGCGGUAUGCUUAACACAUGCAAGUCGAACGGUAGCAGGCCUUCGGGCGCUGACGAGUGGCGGACGGGUGAGUAACGCGUAGGAAUCUGCCUGGUAGUGGGGGACAACGUGGGGAAACUCACGCUAAUACCGCAUACGCUCCUGAUUGCAAGAUGAGGAGGAAAGCGAGGGACCUUCGGGCCUCGCGCUAUCAGAUGAGCCUGCGUUAGAUUAGCUGGUUGGUGGGGUAAAGGCCUACCAAGGCGACGAUCUAUAGCUGGUCUGAGAGGACGAUCAGCCACACUGGGACUGAGACACGGCCCAGACUCCUACGGGUGGCAG